CCGCGGGAAAUUCGAUUGGCGGACGGGUGAGUAAUGCUUGGGAACUUGCCUUUGCGAGAGGGGAUAACUAUUGGAAACGAUAGCUAAUACCGCAUAAUGUUUUCGAACCAAAGUGGGCUUAGGCUCACGCGCAGAGAGAGGCCCAAGUGAGAUUAGCUAGUUGGUAAGGUAAAGGCUUACCAAGGCGACGAUCUCUAGCUGUUCUGAGAGGAAGAUCAGCCACACUGGGACUGAGACACGGCCCAGACUCCUACGGGAGGCAGCAGUGGGGAAUAUUGCACAAUGGGGGGAACCCUGAUGCAGCCAUGCCGCGUGUGUGAAGAAGGCCUUCGGGUUGUAAAGCACUUUCAGUUGUGAGGAAAAGUUAGUAGUUAAUACCUGCUAUCCGUGACGUUAACAACAGAAGAAGCACCGGCUAACUCCGUGCCAGCAGCCGCGGUAAUACGGAGGGUGCGAGCGUUAAUCGGAAUUACUGGGCGUAAAGCGCACGCAGGCGGUCUGUUAAGCUAGAUGUGAAAGCCCUGCGCUCAACGUGGGAUGGUCAUUUAGAACUGGCAGACUAGAGUCUUGGAGAGGGGAGUGGAAUUUCUGGUGUAGCGGUGAAAUGCGUAGAGAUCAGAAGGAACAUCAAUGGCGAAGGCAGCUCUCUGGCCAAAGACUGACGCUCAUGUGCGAAAGUGUGGGUAGCGAACAGGAUUAGAUACCCUGGUAGUCCACACCGUAAACGCUGUCUACUAGCUGUAUGUGUGUUUAACACGUGUGUAGCGAAGCUAACGCGCUAAGUAG
This 786-nucleotide ribosomal RNA is filed under the name uncultured bacterium. Its description in RNAcentral is "bacterial SSU rRNA". It matches the Rfam family "Bacterial small subunit ribosomal RNA", at positions 80 to 867 of the family's 1533-position model. The record is from RNAcentral.